GUUUCUUAUUUUUAUAUCAACCCAGCCAUAUUAUACCUGUCUAAUAUCAGGAGCUUGUACAUAGUUCAGUGGUUGAUGUUGGUUCAUACCCGUCAUUUUUAUUUUUCAUAAUUUUUUUUUUUUUAUAAAUUAGUCUGGUAUAUUUGACGUUUGAAUUGAUGCUCUGUUAGUCUGUUUCAAAUUUGGUUAGUGUUGACUUUUAUAGAUUACUAUAACAUGUAUAGGUUAUGGGUUUUCUCAUUACUUACAGGUCAUCAAUGGCCUCUA
This 267-nucleotide long non-coding RNA is filed under the name Mytilus galloprovincialis (Mediterranean mussel). Lineage: Eukaryota; Metazoa; Mollusca; Bivalvia; Mytilida; Mytilidae. The record is from RNAcentral.